AGAGCGAACGCUGGCGGCAGGCCUAACACAUGCAAGUCGAACGGACCCUUCGGGGUUAGUGGCGGACGGGUGAGUAACACGUGGGAACGUGCCUUUAGGUUCGGAAUAGCUCCUGGAAACGGGUGGUAAUGCCGAAUGUGCCCUUCGGGGGAAAGAUUUAUCGCCUUUAGAGCGGCCCGCGUCUGAUUAGCUUGUUGGUGAGGUAAUGGCUCACCAAGGCUACGAUCAGUAGCUGGUCUGAGAGGAUGACCAGCCACAUUGGGACUGAGACACGGCCCAAACUCCUACGGGAGGCAGCAGUGGGGAAUCUUGCGCAAUGGGCGAAAGCCUGACGCAGCCAUGCCGCGUGUAUGAUGAAGGUCUUAGGAUUGUAAAAUCUUUCACCGGUGAAGAUAAUGACUGUAGCCGGAGAAGAAGCCCCGGAUAACUUCGUGCCAGCAGCCGAC
This 446-nucleotide ribosomal RNA is filed under the name uncultured soil bacterium. RNAcentral's name for it is "bacterial SSU rRNA". It matches the Rfam family "Bacterial small subunit ribosomal RNA", at positions 26 to 518 of the family's 1533-position model. The record is from RNAcentral.